AGUCUGGUGCCAGCAGCCGCGGUAAUUCCAGCUCUGAUAGUAUAUAUUAAAGUUGUUGCAGUUAAAAAGCUCGUAGUUGAAACUUGGGUGCGUAGGGGCGGUCUCUUUUAGAGUACUACCCUGAAACAUCUUUCUUUGGUGUAAACUCUUUAUUCACUUAAGGAGUGUAAACCAAACAUUUACUUUGAAAAAAUUAGAGUGUUCAAAGCAGGCCUUUGCUCGAAUAUAUUAGCAUGGAAUAAUAGAAUAGGACGUAUGGUUCUAUUUUGUUGGUUUCUAGGACCGUCGUAAUGAUUAAUAGGGACGGUCGGGGGCAUCAGUAUACAGUUGUCAGAGGUGAAAUUCUUGGAUUUACUGAAGACUAACUACUGCGAAAGCAUUUGCCAAGGACGUUUUCAUUAAUCAAGAACGAAAGUUAGGGGAUCGAAGACGAUCAGAUACCGUCGUAGUCUUAACCGUAAACUAUGCCGACUAGGGAUCGGAGGGCGUUAUAAUAACCUCUCCGGCACCUUACGAGAAAUCAAAGUUUUUGGGUUCUGGGGGGAGUAUGGCUGCAAGGCUGAAACUUAAAGGAAUUGACGGAAGGGCACCACCAGGAGUGGAGCCUGCGGCUUAAUUUGACCCAACACGGGGAAACUCACCAGGUCCAGACACAAUAAGGAUUGACAGAUUGAGAGCUCUUUCAUGAUUUUGUGGGUGGUGGUGCAUGGCCGUUCUUAGUUGGUGGAGUGAUUUGUCUGCUUAAUUGCGAUAACGAACGAGACCUUAACCUGCUAAAUAGCUGUAACAAUAGAUUAUUGUUUUGACAGCUUCUUAGAGGGACUAUCGAUUUUCAAGUCGAUGGAAGUUUGAGGCAAUAACAGGUCUGUGAUGCCCUUAGACGUUCUGGGCCGCACGCGCGCUACACUGACGGAGCCAGCGAGUCUAACCUGUGCCGAGAGGUAUGGGUAAUCUUGUGAAACUCCGUCGUGCUGGGGAUAGAGCAUUGCAAUUAUUGCUCUUCAACGAGGAAUUCCUAGUAAGCGCAAGUCAUCAGCUUGCGUUGAUUACGUCCCUGCCCUUUGUACACACCGCCCGUCGCUACUACCGAUUGAAUGGCUUAGUGAGGCUUCCGGAUUGAUUAACUGGAGAGGGCAACUUUUCUGGUUGAACGAGAAGCCAGUCAAACUUGGUCAUUUAGA
Molecule: ribosomal RNA, 1181 nt
Filed under: metagenome
Description: SSU rRNA
Rfam family: Eukaryotic small subunit ribosomal RNA
Source: RNAcentral